RNAcentral lists this ribosomal RNA (253 nucleotides) under uncultured bacterium. RNAcentral's name for it is "partial 16S ribosomal RNA". It matches the Rfam family "Bacterial small subunit ribosomal RNA", at positions 524 to 776 of the family's 1533-position model. The record is from RNAcentral.
UACGAAGGGGGCUAGCGUUGCUCGGAAUCACUGGGCGUAAAGCGCACGUAGGCGGAUUGUUAAGUCAGGGGUGAAAUCCUGGAGCUCAACUCCAGAACUGCCUUUGAUACUGGCGAUCUCGAGUCCGGGAGAGGUGAGUGGAACUGCGAGUGUAGAGGUGAAAUUCGUAGAUAUUCGCAAGAACACCAGUGGCGAAGGCGGCUCACUGGCCCGGUACUGACGCUGAGGUGAGAAAGCGUGGGGAGCAAACAGG